CAUGCCAUAGCCAAUCUUUUGGUUGUUGGUUUCACUAGUCGACUAAAAAGAUGAUGGGAUUUGCACUCACUACAACUCUACAAGAAGAAAUUUCAAAAGUUGUAAAAAAAAAGGAUGAUCAAGGGGAAAAUAUCUUAGAUGAACAAGGAAGAGAAACUCAAUAUGUGGUUACAACUUUGAUUUUCUCAAUCUUUAAACAUUUCAUAGGAGAUCCUUCUCAUCUCAAAAAUAGAAAUUUGAAAUUACUAUCAAAUUUAAAAUACAAAAAGUCAAUAAAUUUCAAAUGGUAUAAAGAUGUCUUCAUGACUUGUGUCAUACAAAGAUAUAAUAAUUAACACCCAUUUUGAAAAGAAAAUUUUCUAGCAGGACUUACUAUCCUAUAUUAGAAGAGAAAGUUAGGAACCAAAUUAGGGAAGAUUACAAAGGCAUCAUUUCUUAUGAAAAACCUAUAUAUGGUGAAUUAAUUAGUUUUAUAAAAAAAGAAGGAUUAAAAAUUGGUAAGAUCUAAAAUUACAAAAGCAAGAUAUCAAUGCUAAAAAGGGUCGAGAUCUUUUUGCUGCCAAUUUGACAUAAAAAGUGAUAAUUCUCCCUUGAGAACAUGAUGUCGUGUAAAACCAAAAAAAUAAUAAAAAGAACACCCAUUGAAUAUUAUAAUAAACAAAAAUAUAAAAAAGAAAAGGAAGAACAAAAAUCAGAAAACAAAGUGGAUAAAACAAUAAAAUAUUAUAGAUGUGGAAAACCAAAACACAUCUCAAAAUAUUGUAAGAUCAAGGGUGCGUUUGUUUGCAAGGAUUUGAUUUUCCGGAAAAUAUUUUUCUGAUUAUAUGGUGUUUGGAAGCUUAAAAACAUUUUACAUUUGAAAAAUAUUUUCCAAACACAGGUAAAAUGACCUGCAAUUUGGGGAAAAUGUUUUACCCUUUUGAAUUCGGUAAGACAUUUUUUGGAAAAUGACGCCUUCUUCUCCCCUUUCCCCUUCCCCUUCCCCUUGGGUUGCAAAUUAGUGCCAUUGCAAGGUACCCUACCCCCCGCCCUAAAUUCCUCAAGAGCUACGCGAUUUCGAAGAACACGACGAGAAAGUUUGGUCAAUGACCUUUUCCGGUUCCUCCUUCAUCCAAAUUAAAUGAGAAAUUUCAACAAUGAAACUCAUCAUACACCCAAAUGUCAUCCGUUUGUAUGAGGUGAUGGCUAACGAGACGAAAAUAUACAUUGUUCUAAAACUUGUGACUGGUGGUUAACUUUUUGACAAAAUUGUAAGAAAUUUGUGUU
This is a long non-coding RNA of Gossypium arboreum, 1266 nucleotides long. RefSeq lists it as uncharacterized. Lineage: Eukaryota; Viridiplantae; Streptophyta; Magnoliopsida; Malvales; Malvaceae. The transcript has 3 exons. The record is from RefSeq and is a predicted model, not a curated record.